Long non-coding RNA from Papaver somniferum (opium poppy), 2618 nucleotides. RefSeq lists it as uncharacterized. The transcript is spliced from 3 exons. The record is from RefSeq and is a predicted model, not a curated record. NCBI's taxonomy places the organism in Eukaryota, Viridiplantae, Streptophyta, Magnoliopsida, Ranunculales, Papaveraceae.
UGAGUAGCGAAACCCUAGUCAGUCUCCGUCCGUCUUCAAUUUCAGAUUUCAAUAAUUUCAGAUCCAAUUUCGUGUGUAAAGAAUUUAAAUCUUUUAUUUUUAUGUGUGUCGAAUUUUCGAGCUCGAUCCUUUUUCAGUUUGCCCUAAAUUUCAAUUCCUAUAUCUCAUAUUUGUUGUUCCCCCAAAUCAGAAACCAAAUUGAUUCUCAAUUUCACCACCUCAAAUUAUCAAAACCCUAAGUAAUAAUUAGUACGAAGGUAGCGAUGGGUUCUUCAAGAUGGACCCGGCAUGAUGAUAUUUCCUUUCAAAACUAAGUACCGCCAUACAAGAACAAUAGAUAUCAAAGAAAACCUCAGGGAUACUUUCUUUGGAUCUUUAACCACCAGUUUCAGAAGAGGAACAUUAUGAAGAUCCUUGGAGAGUCGUAAUGCUCCUUAAUCGUAAUACUAGCAAACAGGCAACCAAGUUUAUAUCUCAUUUCAAACUUGGUGAAGAGUGUUGAGACAUAAGUUAAAGAGUCCGAGACAGAAGUUUUCGGCUGAGAAUCCUGCAAUUUGUGAUACAUCAAAUCUCUGUGCUUGCGAUGUUGCGGCAGAAAAGAAUCAAGCAUAUGAGAUCACAUAAGAAGAUGAAAGCUGCAAAAUCUGCACCGUCGAAUAGUAGUAAGUAUGCCAUGGGCAUCACUGUUAUGUUCUGCCUCGAUAUAAUCGUUCAAGGUAACAACAUUUCACCUCUUCCCUGCUUCUUAACUAAUUGAUAGAUAUUCAUGAUUUAGGCUUUAUUUGUGUUGUUAUCCACCACCACAAUACAUGAUUUAGGCUUUACGGAAAUGUUAGAAAGUUAGGACUUCUUAACUAAAUUCACUAAUAGGAGGGUCUCUCUGCAGAUGUAUUUAACAGCAUUCUUAUCCAUGAUUUUCCUUUUUGUUCUUUGGAGCCACAUAUUGUGAUAGAUCUCCUUGUAUUUCAGUUUGACAUGGUAAAUGUGACAUGAUAUGUGAAGAACAUAGGCGCAAUGUUAUAGUAGGAGGAGCUGACAGAGUAUCAACUUGCUGUAAUUUUGAAAGAGACUUAUAAGACCCGGAAUAUGUGAUAUUUUUUUACACAUUCAUGUAUGGGUAAUGACACCCCUACUUUGGUAUUAGCCAAGUCGGUUUGAUAUUAUUGUGGUCGAAUUACUACGGAUGGCAGUUAGGUGUGUUGGGGCAGAAAAAAUGUUUAUGUUCUACCUAUUCUCACAUUUUUGUAGUUUUAGCUCUGGGUUGGCAUGUACUAACCUGAAAGAGGUAUUCAUGUACAUGUUUAAAAUGGAUUGCUGAUGGUUAUUACAGAUUUAGUUGUUCAGAAAAUUUUGUUUGUAAAUUAUACAUUUUGGGAUAUCAUUGUGUAUCGUUGCAUCGUAUGAACCGUUUGUUUGCUGUACCAGGAUGCGAAUACAGUAGUUUAAUAUAUCCAAUCAGUGUCUCCCAAUUGAAUGGUUUCUUGAUAUUGAACCUUGUCAGACCAAAAUGUUAGAAUAAUCCCGUAUGUUCUCAAAAUUAGUAGGCAGUAAAAAGAGUGGCUAAGAAAUCACAAUUUUGGAAAAUUUUAUUGCAGACUGGAGAUGAAUGUGUAAAUUCUCAUCCUCCCAAUGUUUGUGAUAUGUAGGAUUGUCAUCCAGAGACGAUUAACAUUUAAGACUCCAAGGCUCUCCUCUGUCAGUGAUAGAAAUGAGACUGAACCUACCAUUUCUUUUGAGGAAAACAAUAUUUUUUUCUACUCCACAUCAUGUUUUAAUGCAUUCUUGUUUCACAGGUCCCAUUUGGUUGAAAGAAAUAGGUAUUCUGCUGAUGCAUAUGCAAUAUUCUGCAGAGGAAAGUGGAUCAAGUAAAACCCGAAGAUCAUAUGCUUAAUAAAUACUGGGAAUAUCUUGGUCAAGAGUCUUGAGACAUAAGUUAAAGAUUCAGAUACAGAAAGUAUUGACUGAGAUUGGUGUAGGACCAUCAUAUCUCUGAGCUUAUGAUAUUGAAGCGUGCAGAAGCGAACGUCCGAGAGCACAUAAGAAGAUGAAAGAUGCAAAAGCUGCAUUGUCUAAAGUUAUGCUCUGUCUCGUUAUAAUCAUUCAAGUUUGACAUGGUAAAUGAAGAACAUAGGCGUGAUGUGAUAAAUUUAUACUUUUAAUUAGUAGGAGGAGCUGGAAUUUGGAAGAAGACGGAUAAGGCCCAGAAUAUGUGACAUGCUUCUGUAGAUGCAUGUAUAGGGACAUUUAUGACGAAAUCCCUAAAUUUGCGUUGGCCAAGUCGGUUUGAUAUUGUUGUGGUCGAACUACUACAGAUGACAGUUAGGUGUGUUGGAGGAGGAAGAAAGUGUCUGUUCUAUCUAUUCUCUUAGAUUACAUAACAUGCAUACAAGAGCAUUUUGUAUUUUUAGUUUGUUCAUGUUUAAAAUGGGUCGCUGAUGGUUUCAAAUCAGUUGUUCAGAGUAUCUUGUUUGCUGUGUUACAAGGACACUCCAAAAAAUAUUGUGCUGUGUCGACACGCGAGGACACGGACACUUGUACUACAGAGACACCGGCAUGUGUACCUUUAUCUUACCGAAACAAUAUAUAUAUAUAUCUGAAGGCCAUAGUGUGUUUUACCA